This 497-nucleotide ribosomal RNA is filed under the name uncultured bacterium. RNAcentral's name for it is "partial 16S ribosomal RNA". It matches the Rfam family "Bacterial small subunit ribosomal RNA", at positions 28 to 507 of the family's 1533-position model. The record is from RNAcentral.
GAUGAACGCUGGCGGCGUGCCUAAUACAUGCAAGUCGAGCGAACGGACGAGAAGCUUGCUCCUCUGAUGUUAGCGGCGGACGGGUGAGUAACACGUGGAUAACCUACCUAUAAGACUGGGAUAACUUCGGGAAACCGGAGCUAAUACCGGAUGAUAUUUUGAACCGCAUGGUUCAAAAGUGAAAGACGGUCUUGCUGUCACUUAUAGAUGGAUCCGCGCUGCAUUAGCUAGUUGGUAAGGUAACGGCUUACCAAGGCAACGAUGCAUAGCCGACCUGAGAGGGUGAUCGGCCACACUGGAACUGAGACACGGUCCAGACUCCUACGGGAGGCAGCAGUAGGGAAUCUUCCGCAAUGGGCGAAAGCCUGACGGAGCAACGCCGCGUGAGUGAUGAAGGUCUUCGGAUCGUAAAACUCUGUUAUUAGGGAAGAACAAAUGUGUAAGUAACUGUGCACAUCUUGACGGUACCUAAUCAGAGAGCCACGGCUAACUACGUG